Molecule: ribosomal RNA, 254 nt
Filed under: uncultured bacterium
Lineage: Bacteria
Description: partial 16S ribosomal RNA
Rfam family: Bacterial small subunit ribosomal RNA
Source: RNAcentral
UACGGAGGGAGCAAGCGUUACUCGGAAUUAUUGGGCGUAAAGGGCGCGUAGGCGGUUCGGUAAGUCAGGUGUGAAAUCUCCACGCUCAACGUGGAGGCGCCACCUGAAACUGCCGUGACUCGAGUCCGGUAGGGGAGUGUGGAAUUCCUGGUGUAGCGGUGAAAUGCGCAGAUAUCAGGAGGAACACCAGUGGCGAAGGCGGCCUUCUGGACGGAUACUGACGCUGAGGCGCGAAAGCCAGGGGAGCAAACGGG